GACGAACGCUGGCGGCGUGCUUAACACAUGCAAGUCGAACGGAGUGGCGAACGGGUGAGUAACACGUGGGUGACCUGCCCUGCACUUCGGGAUAUGCAUGGGAAACUGGGUCUAAUACCGGAUAGUGUGGGAUGGGCCCGCGGCCUAUCAGCUUGUUGGUGGGGUAAUGGCCUACCAAGGCGGCGACGGGUAGCCGGUCUGAGAGGGUGGACGGCCACAGUCGGACUGGGGCACGGCCCAGAGUCCUACGGGGGGCAGCGGUGGGGAAUAUUGCACAAGGGGCGGAAGCCUGAUGCAGGGACGCCGGGUGGGGGAUGACGGCCUUCAGGUUAUAAACUCCUUACACCAUCGACGCGGUAGAUGGAGAAGAAGCACCGGCUAACUACGUGCCAGCAGCCGCGGUAAUUC
RNAcentral lists this ribosomal RNA (408 nucleotides) under uncultured bacterium. RNAcentral's name for it is "partial 16S ribosomal RNA". It matches the Rfam family "Bacterial small subunit ribosomal RNA", at positions 28 to 526 of the family's 1533-position model. The record is from RNAcentral.